Molecule: long non-coding RNA, 314 nt
Filed under: Elaeis guineensis (African oil palm)
Lineage: Eukaryota; Viridiplantae; Streptophyta; Magnoliopsida; Arecales; Arecaceae
Description: long non-coding RNA (EGUI_LNC026799)
Source: RNAcentral
ACUUUAAUGUUCACUCAAAUAUUUAAGAAUUAGGAUUACACACGUGUGAUGGGAGAUAUUCAGGUAUAAAUUCCACGUAGACCGCUAAUCCGUCAAAGUUCAAAGGAAUGCCUGAUCUCCCUUCAGCGAGCAGUAAGGCAGCUGAAGGAGAAAGGAGGCGAGUUCAGCCUUUCUUAGCCCUCAAGCAACAAGUUAAACCAAUACUGCCAACCAUCACAUCGAUAUGCGUGUGAUUUUGUAAAAGCCGCAUACUGAUCACGACCGGAUUAAACAUAGAUCAUAUCACAAAUAUGCCAAUCCAAACCUAACGCGCU